This 29-nucleotide non-coding RNA is filed under the name Rattus norvegicus (Norway rat). The record is from RNAcentral. Lineage: Eukaryota; Metazoa; Chordata; Mammalia; Rodentia; Muridae.
UGUCCUGAAAGGCUUGCCAUUGUGGGGAU